This is a non-coding RNA of Podarcis lilfordi (Lilford's wall lizard), 75 nucleotides long. Lineage: Eukaryota; Metazoa; Chordata; Lepidosauria; Squamata; Lacertidae. The record is from the annotation of a GenBank genome assembly.
AUCAGUCGAUUGGUUGGUUGGUCGGUCGGUCUGUCGGUUGGUUGGUCGGUCAGUCGGUCGGUCAGUCGGUUGGUU